RNAcentral lists this ribosomal RNA (932 nucleotides) under Pseudomonas sp. P13. RNAcentral's name for it is "bacterial SSU rRNA". It matches the Rfam family "Bacterial small subunit ribosomal RNA", at positions 50 to 989 of the family's 1533-position model. The record is from RNAcentral. Lineage: Bacteria; Pseudomonadati; Pseudomonadota; Gammaproteobacteria; Pseudomonadales; Pseudomonadaceae.
CUAGCAUGCAUGUCGAGCGGUUCGGGUCCUUCGGGCGCCGGUUAGCCGAUGACGGUUGAGUCAUGGCUCGGAAUCUGCCUGGUAGUGGGGGAUAACUCGGGGAAACUCGAGCUAAUACCGCACACUUCCUACGGGAGAAAGUGGGGGAUCUUCGGACCUCACGCUAUCAGAUGAGCCUAGGUCGGAUUAGCUAGUUGGUGAGGUAAAGGCUCACCAAGGCGACGAUCCGUAACUGGUCUGAGAGGAUGAUCAGUCACACUGGAACUGAGACACGGUCCAGACUCCUACGGGAGGCAGCAGUGGGGAAUAUUGGACAAUGGGCGAAAGCCUGAUCCAGCCAUGCCGCGUGUGUGAAGAAGGUCUUCGGAUUGUAAAGCACUUUAAGUUGGGAGGAAGGGCAGUAAGUUAAUACCUUGCUGUUUUGACGUUACCAACAGAAUAAGCACCGGCUAACUUCGUGCCAGCAGCCGCGGUAAUACGAAGGGUGCAAGCGUUAAUCGGAAUUACUGGGCGUAAAGCGCGCGUAGGUGGUUCAGCAAGUUGGAGGUGAAAUCCCCGGGCUCAACCUGGGAACUGCCUCCAAAACUACUGGGCUAGAGUAUGGUAGAGGGUGGUGGAAUUUCCGGUGUAGCUAUGAAAUGCGUAGAUAUAGGAAGGAACACCAGUGGCGAAGCGACCACCUGGACUAAUACUGACACUGAGGUGCGAAAGCGUGGGGAGCAAACAGGAUUAGAUACCCUGGUAGUCCACGCCGUAAACGAUGUCGACUAGCCUUGGGAUCCUUGAGAUCUUAGUGGCGCAGCUAACGCGAUAGUCGACCGCCUGGGGAGUACGGCCGCAGGUUAAAACUCAAUGAAUUGACGGGGCCCGCACAAGCGGUGGAGCAGUGGUUUAAUUCGAAGCACGCGAAACCUUACCUGGCCUUGACUGCU